UUUGUAAUCUGAGACCUCAGACUCAUGGGGGACUGACAAGCAGUUAUAAAGCUAUGUCCACCAAACAUUGUUUGCACUCUGAAUCAGGAAAAUUUCGGCUACCAUCAUGUUAAGGGUUGUCUGUAGUGAUUUUUGACAUAAAAGCAAGCAUUAGUAAGCUCAAGUCUACAAAAAGAAAUGAGUUACUCAGUCUCCAGUUGAGGCUUCUAUAAUCAGCUUCUGCUUCCAUUUAGGAAAAUUUCUUUUAGACUGAAUAUUGCCUUGAGGUCUUGAAUAAAGACACAAUUAUAUAUUAGCAAAUCUGAGUUCUUCAGAUUUCUAGUGCCAUACCUGGGCAGUUGUACAUCUAGGAUUCAUGAACAGGCAGCCUGGGACCAAAUUUGUCCCGGGAAGUACUCAACUAAUAAGCAAAAAUGGUGUUUCUUGGCCCUAUGUAUAGGCCUCAUCUAUGAGGCUUUACAUAUAAAACUUCUUUCAAUAUCUGUGGUAUUAUUCUCAGGUGUGAAAUCCUUUAAAAAAAAUGCAGUGAUAGGGACUAGUAACUUUAUUGUUUAUAUUAAAUUGUAGUGGAUUCUAGAGGGUGUUGUCUGGAUUUCCAAAUUAUUCAUUUCCCUAGCUGUCUGCCACCACUCCUAGCCAGAUCCCUGCCAAAGUAUAGCCCUGAGCUGAAAAGAGCUGCCUCACCCAAGGUUAUGCUCCCUUCUGGGAGCAGCUGAAUGCAGUGCUUUGUUGAUGCAGGAUGGAAAGGCCCAGCUCCAGAGCUCUUCAGCUGAGGCCUUUGCUGCAGCUUCAUUGCGGUUCAGCUGCUCUCUCUUCAGUCAGGCUUCGCUCACUCCCUUAAAGAUGUCGUUCUGAAGAGCACUUCCCAACAAAUUCCCUGCAAGAAGGUCUGCCUCCUCAUGUUUUCCAGAGGAGCUGACCCAAGACACUACCCCUGGAGUAUCACUGAAGAAAAGCAUUGUAAUAAUAAUAAUCGAUGGCAUUCAACUGUAAAUACUUGAGGGCUGAAUAAUCAUUUAAUUGGAUGAGCUGAUAAUAUGAAAGUUUAAAAAAUAGUAUAACUUUUGCUUUUAUACCACAUUUAAAAAAUAAGACAUGGCAGAAAGAAUUGCCACUUGUACAUUCACAGUGUUGUUCAGUCAUCACCACUAUCCAUUUCCAGAAGAGAGUUCUCUUCUUGAUGUCUUCCUUUCCUUCUUCCUGGUCAUUGUCAAUCCAAAGCCAUUGGCCCCCACCCCCCGGCACUCAAGGCCUCUAUCCCAAUGACUUCCUAAUUGAUAAAUGCAGUGAACUCUUCAGUCUUGAUGUCGGCUUUUUUUCACAUCAGAUAUUGGUGAACACUUCCUUCUUGAAACUCUUGCCUUCUUUAAUUUUGAUUAAAUGGAUUAUAUUCGUUUGUCAUUCCACAAGUAUUUAUUGAGUAGCUAGCACAUCUAGGGCAUUGUCCUAUGGGUUGUGCAUACAACAAUAAAUAAAACAGGCAGUCUCUGCCCUCGAGCUUUCAUUCUAGCACACACAGAACAAUGCACGUGUAGUACAGCACAUGAUGAGAAGUGCUGUGAAGAAAAGUAAGUAGAAUAAGGGAGAGAUAGUAAACAAAGUGGGUCUGUGGAUUGCUAUUUAUAUGGGGUCUAUUUAUGAAGAGACCUGACAAAAGUGAGGGGUUGAGAACCAUGACAUUCUGGAAAGAUGUUCCAGACAGAAGGAACCUCAGGUGCAAAGGCCUUGAGAUAGAUGAAGGAGUGUGUGACAUGUUUGAGAAGCAGCCAGAGGCUGUUGUGGAGAGAUUAAGAAGAGUAGUAAGAAAUGAGAUCAAAGAGGUGAUGGUGGUGGGGCAAUUCAAAUGUUAGAGGGCACUGAAGAUGGCCUUGAGAGCUCUGUCUUUGAAUCUGAGAGAUAUGGAAAACCACUGGGAUUUGAGCUGAUGAAAGACAUAAUCUGACUUGUUCUGUGAUGGAGCAAACUGGUAAAACAUGGGGUGGAAGCAAGGAUAUGAGUUACGGGAUUAUUGCAAUAAUCUUAUUAAGAGAUGAUGGUGAUUUAGACCAGGUGGUAGCAGUGAAGUGUGAAGGAAUGUGUGGGUUCUUGCUAUGUUUGAAGGUGGAGCCAACAAGAUUUCUGAAUGGAUUGAAUCCAAGGUAUAAGAAAAAGAAAUCAAGAAUUACUCCCAAGAUUUUUGGCCUGAGCCAAAGGAGGAAUGGUAUUGCAAGUUACUGAGAUGGGAAGACUGAGGAAAGAGGUUUGUAGGGGAAGAUCUAAAGUAGUUCGGUUUUGAUUAUGUCAUGUUUGAUAGGCCAGGGACGAUGUCAAAUAAGCAGUUUCAUCAAUAAAUUGGGUUCAGAAGAUUUGGUUAAAGCUGAUGAUAAAUUUGGGAUUUUGUCAGUAUAUAGAUGGUAUUUAAUAAAAUCAUGAGACUAGAUGAUAUUACUUAGCUAGUAAGUAUAGAUAGAAAAGAGAGAAAGCAACUAAAUAUUGUAGGGAUAAAUAUAAUGAUGGCUAGCAUUUAUUAAGUGCUUAUUGCUGUGUUCUAAAUGUGAAGAGCUUUGCAUGCAUUAGCAACCUAUGAGACAGGGUUAGUAUUGUGUUAGAUGAGCUGAGUUUUCUCAUCUGCUCAAUGAUAUGUCCGAGGGUAGUUGUGAAAUAGUAAGUGAAAUAAUGUAUGGUUAGUGAGGCAGAGAAAUAUUAUCUUGACUGCUUAUAUCAGAAUUUCUCUUAGUCUUCAUUUGGAAAAACGUCUUAUUAAAACUUGGGUGGGAGAGAGUGAGCCUUUUGUAUUGGUUGCUGUCAAAGUGUAAUGAGGGAGAAAAACUUGGAAUUUUAAAGGCAAUCUGACGAAGGGGUGAAGAGAAAGAAAAAUGAGAAUAGAGAGGGAUGGUGGGACUGGGUUAGGUAAGAAAAGCUCCCAGGGACAGAACUGGAGGAUAUUUGAAUAACUGUUGCUCUCCAUGUAGUUGUUUGCUACAGAGUGCUGGAAGCAGCCCUCCCUUCUUCUCUUUCCCACCAUGAAAUCUUGCUGAAAUGUUGGGAAGAGGCAGAGUUUUGUGAGUGAAUCCAUGUGACGCAGGACAGAAGCAGCAAGUGUGACAUGGGAGCCCGGACACAGAAGCACAGAUGUUGGGUGUGCGAUAACGGAGCAAGUCAAAAAACCCUGCUGUCGUUCUCUGAGUGGUGCUGUCCCUGUGCACAAUGCCAGCCAUCUGAUAUUUGUGCUAAGUGGAAUUACUGAGAGAAACAUCAGUGGGGCAGCUUACCAACAUGACAGAUUGUGGGAAGGACUCUCCGUGCAGCAAAUGGACAUUUGGAUUCCCUAACAUGCAUCCAGAAAAGGAGAUGAGAACCUCCGUUCCUCAGAUGCUUGGUAUUUCACCCUUGGUUGCAACCUCAGGCAUCCAUCUGGUCAAGGCUCUGAAGUGG
Long non-coding RNA from Ailuropoda melanoleuca (giant panda), 3414 nucleotides. RefSeq lists it as uncharacterized. NCBI's taxonomy places the organism in Eukaryota, Metazoa, Chordata, Mammalia, Carnivora, Ursidae. The record is from RefSeq and is a predicted model, not a curated record. The transcript has 3 exons.